AAGUGCAUGGGUCUCAUCAUAGAGACAGAGGAAAUAAAAAACAUCCUUCUCCUUAUGAGUCUUUCACAUCCUCCUAUAAUCCAGGGGAAGUGUAUGGAACUCAUUAUAGAGGCAGAGGAAAGAAAAAGGAAUAUCACCGUUUUCCUUCUGAGGCUCUCCCAUCCACUGAUAAUAUAUUUCCACCGUCGUAUCAUGAUUUCCCCAAAAUACCUCCAUAUCCUUUCACUGUAACAGG
Anolis sagrei ordinatus is the source of this 235-nucleotide non-coding RNA. Lineage: Eukaryota; Metazoa; Chordata; Lepidosauria; Squamata; Anolidae. The record is from RefSeq and is a predicted model, not a curated record.